This 207-nucleotide ribosomal RNA is filed under the name uncultured bacterium. RNAcentral describes it as "partial 16S ribosomal RNA". It matches the Rfam family "Bacterial small subunit ribosomal RNA", at positions 568 to 774 of the family's 1533-position model. The record is from RNAcentral.
CUCGUAGGCGGCUGAUUAAGUCGGAUGUGAAAUCCCUGAGCUUAACUUAGGAAUUGCAUUCGAUACUGGUCAGCUAGAGUAUGGGAGAGGAUGGUAGAAUUCCAGGUGUAGCGGUGAAAUGCGUAGAGAUCUGGAGGAAUACCGAUGGCGAAGGCAGCCAUCUGGCCUAAUACUGACGCUGAGGUACGAAAGCAUGGGGAGCAAACA